GGACGAACGCUGGCGGCGUGCCUAAUACAUGCAAGUCGAACGGUCUUUCUAUGGAAGCUUGCUCACUGAGAAGAUAGUGGCGAACGGGUGAGUAACACGUGGGUAACCUGCCCAUAAGAGGGGGAUAACAUCCGGAAACGGGUGCUAAUACCGCAUAGUUUUCUUGAUCGCAUGAUCGGGAAAGGAAAGACGGCCUUUGUGCUGUCGCUUAUGGAUGGACCCGCGGCGUAUUAGUUAGUUGGUGAGGUAACGGCUCACCAAGACGAUGAUACGUAGCCGACCUGAGAGGGUGAUCGGCCACAUUGGGACCGAGAGACGGCCCAAACUCCUACGGGAGGCAGCAGUAGGGAAUUUUCGGCAAUGGGGGAAACCCUGACCGAAGCAACGCCGCGUGAACGACGAAGUACUUCGGUAUGUAAAGUUCUUUUAAGAGGGAAGAAUGGCCCGUGGAAAAGCGGGCGUGACGGUACCUUUUGAAUAAGCCCCGGCUAACUAUGUGCCAGCCGCGGC
Molecule: ribosomal RNA, 510 nt
Filed under: uncultured bacterium
Lineage: Bacteria
Description: bacterial SSU rRNA
Rfam family: Bacterial small subunit ribosomal RNA
Source: RNAcentral